Molecule: ribosomal RNA, 230 nt
Filed under: uncultured bacterium
Lineage: Bacteria
Description: partial 16S ribosomal RNA
Rfam family: Bacterial small subunit ribosomal RNA
Source: RNAcentral
UAAAGCGCGCGUAGGUGGUUUGUUAAGUUGAAUGUGAAAUCCCCGGGCUCAACCUGGGAACUGCAUCCAAAACUGGCAAGCUAGAGUAGGGCAGAGGGUGGUGGAAUUUCCUGUGUAGCGGUGAAAUGCGUAGAUAUAGGAAGGAACACCAGUGGCGAAGGCGACCACCUGGGCUCAUACUGACACUGAGGUGCGAAAGCGUGGGGAGCAAACAGGAUUAGAUACCCAGU